This 591-nucleotide ribosomal RNA is filed under the name uncultured bacterium. RNAcentral's name for it is "bacterial SSU rRNA". It matches the Rfam family "Bacterial small subunit ribosomal RNA", at positions 470 to 1059 of the family's 1533-position model. The record is from RNAcentral.
UGACUGUACCCUAAGAAUAAGGUCCGGCUAACUUCGUGCCAGCAGCCGCGGUAAUACGAAGGGACCUAGCGUAGUUCGGAAUUACUGGGCGUAAAGCGCGCGUAGGCCGUUGAGUUAGUUAAUUGUGAAAUCCCAAAGCUUAACUUUGGAACUGCAAUUAAAACUGCUCGACUAGAGUUUGAUAGAGGAAAGCGGAAUACAUAGUGUAGAGGUGAAAUUCGUAGAUAUUAUGUAGAACACCAGUUGCGAAGGCGGCUUUCUGGAUCAACACUGACGCUGAGGCGCGAAAGUAUGGGUAGCAAAGAGGAUUAGAUACCCUCGUAGUCCAUACCAUAAACGAUGAUUGCUAGAUGUUGGAAGUUUAUUUUCAGUAUCGCAGCUAACGCAUUAAGCAAUCCGCCUGGGGAGUACGACCGCAAGGUUAAAACUCAAAUGAAUUGACGGGGACCCGCACAAGCGGUGGAGCAUGUGGUUUAAUUCGAAGAUACGCGCAGAACCUUACCAACCCUUGACAUGUCUGUCGCGAGUUUAGGAAACUAGACUUCUCGGUUCGGCCGGACAGAACACAGGUGCUGCAUGGCUGUCGUCAGC